Molecule: RNA transcript, 4453 nt
Organism: Ctenopharyngodon idella (grass carp)
Lineage: Eukaryota; Metazoa; Chordata; Actinopteri; Cypriniformes; Xenocyprididae
Gene name: gastrula zinc finger protein XlCGF8.2DB-like
Exons: 3
Source: RefSeq, a predicted model, not a curated record
AGCAAACCAGCUUCGGAUGUAAAAUCUCGAUUAGAAAAAAUAGUGAAUCAAAACUGACUGAUAGAGAGCUAUCUGCGAAAUAAACUUGAUCAGUAAAGAUGGAGCAGCAUGAAAACAACCAGACCGCACAGGCACCAGAUGUCAAGACGAAAACCUGCCAGUCGACUAGUAUUAAACAGAAGGAUAUAAUACAGUAUCAGAAUGAACUGAACAAAGAUUAUAUCACUUGUCAUCAAUGUGGGGUGCAUUUCACCAAGCAAGCAAGCUUUAAGCAGCACAUGAGAAGUCACACUGGAGCGAAGCCUUUCAUCUGCCCUCAAUGUGGAAAGAGUUUCACAGUGAAACAAAGCCUUGAGGCUCACAUCAGAAUUCACACUGGAGAAAAGCCUUUCACCUGCUCUCAGUGUGGAAGGAGUUUCGCACAACAAGGACAACUUAAAUAUCACGUGACAAGCCACACUGGAGAGAAGCCUUUCACCUGCCCUCAAUGUGAAAAGAGUUUCACAGCCAAACAAAGCCUUAAAAUUCACAUGAGAAUUCACACUGGAGAGAAGCCUUUCACCUGUCUUCAGUGUGGGAUGAGCUUCUCACAACUAAAACACCUUAAACGUCACAUAAGAACACACUCUGGAGAGAAGCCUUUCACCUGCUCUCUAUGCGGAAAAAGUUACAGAGUGAAACGAAACCUUGAGAGUCACAUAAGAACUCACACUGGAGAGAAGCCUUUCACCUGCUCUGAGUGUGGAAAGCGUUUCACAGUAAAACAAAAGCUUGAUAGUCACGUAAGAGUUCAUACCGGAGAGAAGCCUUUCUCCUGCCCCCAGUGUGGAAAGAGAUUCACAGUGAAACAAAGCCUUGAUGGUCACAUGGCCAUUCACACUGGAGAGAAGCCUUUCACCUGCUCUCGAUGUGGAAAGAGUUAUGCUGUAAAACGAAACCUUGAGUAUCACAUGAGAAUUCACACUGGAGAGAAGCCUUUCGUCUGCCCUCAAUGUGGGAACAGUUUCGCAAUGAAAAAAAACCUUGUUAGACACAUGAACAUUCACACUGGAGCAAAGCCUUUCAGCUGCUCAGAGUGUGGAAAGAGUUUCACCGUGAAACAUGGCCUUUAUAAUCACAUGAGAAUUCACACUGGAGAGAAGCCUUUUACCUGCCCCCAAUGUGGAAAGAGUUUCACAGUGAAACAUGGCCUUUAUAAUCACAUGAGAAUUCACACUGGAGAGAAGCCUUUCGUCUGCCCUCAAUGUGGGAACAGUUUUGCAAUUAAAAACAACCUUGUGAGACACAUGAAAAUUCACACUCGAGUGAAGCCUUUCAGCUGCUCUGAGUGUGGAAAGAGUUUCACCGUGAAACAUGGCCUUGAUAAUCACAUGAGAGUUCACACUGGAGAGAAGCCUUUCACCUGCUCUGAGUGUGGAAAGAGUUACACAUUGAGUCAAAGCCUUGAGAGACACAUGAGAAUUCACACUGAUUCUGCCCUUAAUGUGCAAAGAGCUUCAUGCAAAUCGGACACCUUAACCGUCACAGAGAAUUCUCACUGGAAAGAAGCCUUUCGACAGGAUAGGGGAAUCUCUUCCUCCACCUCUUUGCAGCAUCCAUCAAAAUGAAGAGACUGCAGUCACAGUGUACCAGAAACCCAACCAGCUAUCAGAGGACAUUGAUGUAGUCAAUAUUUUAUAUGAAGUUCUAAAUGUCUAAAUGUAGGUUCGGGAGGAGCCUAAACAUUCAGUCCUGUCAAUCAUAAUUACAUGAGUACUAUAUAAGCUGCAAACACUGCGUCAUCCCAUUGACACGUUUUUUUCCAGCAACCCUCCUCCUCCUCCCCGUCUCCUCCUCUAAUUCUCUCUUUCCUCCUACGCGCAGUUCCAUAGUCGGGGGUUUUAACUCGGAGCUCGAGCCGAGCUUUGGGUUCGUGCCUCCUCCGCAGACAGCAAGCCAAGUUCGUUUUACUAGUAACCGUUGAGGCUAAAUGGGCAGGCGAACUCGUGAAAUGAUUAGGAGGCCAUAAGUGAUAAGAGACCAGUUGGGACAAUUUGGUCGGGUUGACACGUUUACACAAUAGUGUAUCUAUAAGUUACUAUUCAUUAUAAUGGGAGAUGAUGAACCUCAGCAAGAACACACUGUAAAUCAGACAUUUGAUACAAUGGGAGUAGACCUAAUUAAAAUGCAUUAACCAACAAUUAGUUAACCAUAGUGAUAAUCUCAGUAAAUCAUUUGAAGAUUGAGUCAGUUGAGUAGCAGCGACAUCCACUGCCAGUCGCUCUGGAUUUUUUCCCCCUUGUUUGUAUUAUUAUUUAUCUACAUAUUUUAUACAUUCCUUUUACCUAUAUAUAGAUUUCAUUUAAACAAUGUUGUAUACCAUUAUGUUGUACAAAAAAUAGCAUGUACAUUUCAGCAAUCUGUGCAAACUGUAACUGAUGGAAAGAAAAAUGAAUCAUCUCUACAUGCUUGAGAUAAGUAGUCUCUUCAAGACCACAGACACUGUUAAGCAGAAAAAUCCUGUUAUGUUUAAUAAGAACAUGUUUAUAUUUCUUUUUAGAUGCAAACAGAGCUUUGACUACACAAAUAUCUAAGGUUAUUCAGUAAACUGCUAAUUUCUUAUCACUUCAUUUCAUACCUCAUGCUCUUCACCUACAUCUGCCUCGUUUCUACAGAAGAGUUAACUUGACAAUAUGUUUGAAUAAUUUUGAAUUUCAGACAAAAAUCUUCCUAAUGGAGAGUAACUGGCAAGAGACAAUGACAACUUCUAAAAUGUCUGGCACCAGACUUGAGGAAGAAGAGAAAAUCCUGCAGGUCUUCUCACUGAGCUGCUGCAAAACAUAAAGACAGUAUGUCCGCACUGAAACCCACCUAAAACAUACCCUUAUGCCUGAAACACACUCAAAACCUACCCUUAUGCCCAAAAAUCCUUUCAAUCAGAAACCUACAUACAACAAAUCAGGUUUCCGAGGCGGCACAGGGAUGGGGAGUCAUGUAACGUCUGGACUAAUGCACGAUAAUCGAUUGAGCUUAAAGUUUUACGAAAAACUUUUACCCUUCUGAACUGGUUAGUUAAAUCACGGCCUGGGCUCCAGCCAGACUGACUUUUAUGGGUCCGUUGUCACUUUAGUUGCCUCGGCAGAUGCUAAGCAGAAACUUCUUCAGGUUCCUAGGUGACUUCAGAGAUCUCCUAGAUUGACCCCAUGCUAGGCACAAAGGGCCAUGUGGCCACAGACACAUUGUGGAAACACCCAAUAGACACACAUACGGACAUUCUCUGCAUUUAACUCAUAAUUAAACUAUCCCAGAAUGUUAUAUGAUGUAUUCCUGUGUGUAUGCAUGUCCCUAUGUUAUAAUUAGCCUAGAUAUGAUUUUUAGUUAUUUUAGGAUAAAUUUAAAUGUUCAUAAUCAUAUGUGAGAAUGUACCACUCUUUUAAUGUCUUCCCACCCUAUUGUAUUUGUUCUUGAAAUGAUCCUUUCUUUAUGCCUUAAUUGAUGAUGUGUAUCAUGUUACAAUAAAAUGCAUUAUAUUAUUUGUACUACACUUUGGGGUAAAAGCUGUACUAAUCUGACACUUUGCUUAGAUUUAGUUGUAUUUAUUCAUAGUUUAAUUUAUCAAAAUCCAUUAUAUUCACACUUAAUUUUGUCUCUGUUGCUGCUCAUAAAUCAGGUCACUUUAACAUUUUGAUUUUCACUACAUGCUUUUGUACUGUUAGUACUAGAAGAGGAGAAUUAUUCUUCUUGGCCAUAAGAAGAUCGUACUGUUAAGUUUGGUGGACAAAUUGAAAUUAAUUCUAAAACUAAAACUAAUUCUGCAAGCUGAUCUAAACCAUAUAUAUUCAUAAUUAAUUAUAAUCUGUUAUGAUUUUUUAAAUAUAUAUUUCACCUUUGAGCUAAAUCCGCUACAGUCACCAUAAAUACAGUAUACAUAUCUAUGGGUGACGUAUUGGGCACAGGCGUAGCUUCUGACGACACCCUUGGAUGUGGGCAGAGUUGGAUGUCCACCGCAGGCUGCAGCGAGCCCUACUUGACCUAUUUGGCAAAAGGGAAGACAACAGCCUUUUUUCUUUGUUUUCUCUAGUCUGGUAGUACCGAUUUCAAAUGUUUCGCCUUUCUAUGGCCAUAGACAGCCACGUUUUAUUGAAAGCCCAUUUUGCCAGCAGUGAAUUGACAGAAAGAGUAGUUUACAUCUAUGACUUAUUAUUUACAUCUCUUUUACUCUUUCUGUCAAUUCCAUUUCCUAAAUGGAAAUUACUAUCCCCUUGUGUUGGUGCUGUACCCAUACAUAGAAAUGUUGGUUAUAAAAAUUGUUUAUUCAAUCUUAUUAUGUAUGUGCACUCAAAAGAGUCAUCAAAGAACAUUCCAUAGAAUAUUUGGCCUGGUUGGAUUUUGAUACCAUCAUGAUGUUUUUGAAUGCUUUAUUCCAGUGCACAGAUUAUGUUAUUUUAACACCUAAAUAAACAGUUUCACAAAA